AUUGAACGCUGGCGGCAUGCCUAACACAUGCAAGUCGAACGGUAACAGACCGCUGGGAUCCCUUCGGGGUGACCUUGGUGCUGACGAGUGGCGACGGGUGAGUAACACUUGGGAAUCUGCCCAGUAGUGGGGGACAACCCGGGGAAACCCGGGCUAAUACCGCAUACGCCCUACGGGGAAAGGGGGCCUCUUCUUGAAAGCUCUCGCUAUUGGAUGAGCCCAAGUCGGAUUAGCUUGUUGGUGAGGUAAAAGCUCACCAAGGCGACGAUCCGUAGCUGGUCUGAGAGGACGAUCAGCCACACUGGGACUGAGACACGGCCCAGACUCCUACGGGAGGCAGCAGUGGGGAAUAUUGGACAAUGGGCGAAAGCCUGAUCCAGCAAUGCCGCGUGUGUGAAGAAGGCCUGCGGGUUGUAAAGCACUUUCAGUGGAGAAGAAAGCCGGACGCUAAUACCGACCGGUCUUGACGUAACCUACAGAAGAAGCACCGGCUAACUCCGUG
This 502-nucleotide ribosomal RNA is filed under the name uncultured bacterium. Its description in RNAcentral is "bacterial SSU rRNA". It matches the Rfam family "Bacterial small subunit ribosomal RNA", at positions 30 to 507 of the family's 1533-position model. The record is from RNAcentral.